AACUUAAGCAUAUCAAUAAGCGGAGGAAAAGAAAAUAACAAUGAUUCCCCUAGUAACUGCGAGUGAAGAGGGAUAAGCUCAAAUUUUAAAUCUAUCGGGUUUUACCUGAUCGAGUUGUAAUUUGAAGAAGCGUUUUCUGCGUUUUUGGUCAGCCCAAGUCCUAUUGAAUGAGGCAUCAUGGAGGGUGAUAAUCCCGUCCGGUUGAUCAUUUGCGUUUUACGAUACGCUUUCUAAGAGUCAAGUUGUUUGGGAUUGCAGCUUAAAAUGGGAGGUAAAUUUCUCCUAAGGCUAAAUAACGGCGAGAGACCGAUAGCGAACAAGUACCGUGAGGGAAAGAUGAAAAGAACUUUGAAAAGAGAGUUAAACAGUACGUGAAAUUGUUGAAAGGGAAACGAUUGAAGCCAGUCGUACCUUCGGGUAAUCAGCUUUUCGGGUGCGAUUCUGUGGAGUGUGAUGAGCUUAACACCUUCAUGCUUUGCAUAUUUGUGCUCUUGGGUGUACUUGCCCGUGUGGUUGGUUAACAUCAAUUUUGGUUAUCAUAAAAUGAUUGGAGGAAUGUAGCUUCGAUCUCGUAUUGAAGUGUUAUAGCCUUCGGUAGAUGUGAUGAACGAGAUUGAGGAUUGCAACGGAUACCCUUCGGGGCUACCUGUCUGGUCUCUGAUCGUUGUUCUGGUGCCGAAAGCUUGCUUACGGUCAUCAAAGUCGAUGGUCAAUAGGUUAGAACGGGUUAAAUUCGUUAAGGAUGUUGACGUAAUGGCUUUAAACGACCCGUCUUGAAACACGGACCAAGGAGUCUAACAUAUAUGCGAGUGUUAGGGUGAUUAAACCCUUACGCGUAAUGAAAGUAAUUUUGGUGGGAACACUUUUGUGCACCAUCGACCGAUCAGGAUAUUUUUUGAUAGAUUUGAGUAAGAGCAUAUCUGCUAGGACCCGAAAGAUGGUGAACUAUGCCUGAAUAGGGUGAAGUCAGAGGAAACUCUGAUGGAGGCUCGUAGCGGUUCUGACGUGCAAAUCGAUCGUCAAAUUUGGGUAUAGGGGCGAAAGACUAAUCGAACCAUCUAGUAGCUGGUUCCUGCCGAAGUUUCCCUCAGGAUAGCAGAAACUCGUCAACAGUUUUAUGAGGUAAAGCGAAUGAUUAGAGGCCUUAGGGUCGAAAUAGCCUUAACCUAUUCUCAAACUUUAAAUAUGUAAGAAGUUUAUCGUUACUUAAUUGAACGUGAACAUUCGAAUGAGAGUUUCUAGUGGGCCAUUUUUGGUAAGCAG
Molecule: ribosomal RNA, 1263 nt
Filed under: Glomus sp. MUCL 41835
Lineage: Eukaryota; Fungi; Glomeromycota; Glomeromycetes; Glomerales; Glomeraceae
Description: eukaryotic LSU rRNA
Rfam family: Eukaryotic large subunit ribosomal RNA
Source: RNAcentral